This 468-nucleotide ribosomal RNA is filed under the name uncultured bacterium. Its description in RNAcentral is "partial 16S ribosomal RNA". It matches the Rfam family "Bacterial small subunit ribosomal RNA", at positions 28 to 507 of the family's 1533-position model. The record is from RNAcentral.
GACGAACGCUGGCGGCGUGCUUAACACAUGCAAGUCGAACGGAAAGGCCCUGCUUUUGUGGGGUGCUCGAGUGGCGAACGGGUGAGUAACACGUGAGUAACCUGCCCUUGACUUUGGGAUAACUUCAGGAAACUGGGGCUAAUACCGGAUAGGAGCUCCUGCUGCAUGGUGGGGGUUGGAAAGUUUCGGCGGGUUGGGAUGGACUCGCGGCUUAUCAGCUUGUUGGUGGGGGAGGGGCUUACCAAGGCUUUGACGGGUAGCCGGCCUGAGAGGGUGGCCGGCCACAUUGGGACUGAGAGACGGCCCAGACUCCUACGGUAGGCAGCAGUGGGGAAUCUUGCACAGUGGGCGGAAGCCUGAUGCAGCAACGCCGCGUGCGGGAUGACGGCCUUCGGGUUGUAAACCGCUUUCGCCUGUGACGAAGCGUGAGUGACGGUAAUGGGUAAAGAAGCACCGGCUAACUACGUG